GAUGAACGCUGGCGGCGUGCCUAAUACAUGCAGGUCGAGCGAACAGACGAGGAGCUUGCUCCUCUGAUGUUAGCGGCGGGCGGGUGAGUAACACGUGGAUAACCUACCUAUAAGACUGGGAUAACUUCGGGAAACCGGAGCUAAUACCGGAUAACAUGUUGAACCGCAUGGUUCAACAGUGAAAGACGGUCUUGCUGACACUUAUAGAUGGAUCCGCGCCGCAUUAGCUAGUUGGUAAGGUAACGGCUUACCAAGGCAACGAUGCGUAGCCGACCUGAGAGGGUGAGCGGCAAAACUGGAAAUGAGAAACGGUCCAGGCUCCUACGGGAGGCAGCAGGGGGGAAUAUUGGACAAUGGGAGAAAGCUUGAUGGAGAAAUGCAGCGUGAGGGAAGAAGGUCUUCGGAUGGUAAAGCGCGUUAAGUUGGGAAGAAGGACAGGAAGUGAAAAGAUGGCCGUCUGGACGGUACCAAAAGAAAAAGCAACGGCUAACUUCGUG
RNAcentral lists this ribosomal RNA (497 nucleotides) under uncultured bacterium. Its description in RNAcentral is "partial 16S ribosomal RNA". It matches the Rfam family "Bacterial small subunit ribosomal RNA", at positions 28 to 507 of the family's 1533-position model. The record is from RNAcentral.